RNAcentral lists this ribosomal RNA (253 nucleotides) under uncultured bacterium. RNAcentral's name for it is "partial 16S ribosomal RNA". It matches the Rfam family "Bacterial small subunit ribosomal RNA", at positions 524 to 776 of the family's 1533-position model. The record is from RNAcentral.
UACGUAGGGGGCUAGCGUUGUCCGGAUUUAUUGGGCGUAAAGAGCGUGUAGGCGGCCAUUCAGGUCCGUUGUGAAAACUGGAGGCUUAACCUCCAGACGUCGAUGGAAACCGUAUGGCUAGAGUCCGGAAGAGGAGAGUGGAAUUCCUGGUGUAGCGGUGAAAUGCGCAGAUAUCAGGAAGAACACCCGUGGCGAAGGCGGCUCUCUGGGACGGUACUGACGCUGAGACGCGAAAGCGUGGGGAGCGAACAGG